RNAcentral lists this ribosomal RNA (897 nucleotides) under uncultured archaeon. Its description in RNAcentral is "16S ribosomal RNA". The record is from RNAcentral.
UUCCGGCGUUGACUCCAAUUGAACCGCAGGCUUCACCCCUUGUGGUGCUCCCCCGCCAAUUCCUUUAAGUUUCAUACUUGCGUACGUACUUCCCAGGCGGCAAACUUAACGGCUUCCCUGCGGCACUGCACUGGCCAAAAGCCAGUGCAUCACCGAGUCUGCAUCGUUUACAGCUGGGACUACCCGGGUAUCUAAUCCGGUUUGCUCCCCCAGCUUUCAUCCCUCACCGUCGAACGUGUUCUGGUAGACCGCCUUCGCCACAGGUGGUCAUCAAGAGAUCAAAGGAUUUUACCCCUUCCUCCCGAGUACCGUCUACCUCUCCCACUCCCUAGUUCUGCAGUAUUUCCGGCAGCCCAUUAGUUGAGCUAGUGGAUUUAACCGGAAACUUACAGAACCGGCUACGGAUGCUUUAGGCCCAAUAAUCCUCCUGACCACUUGAGGUGCUGGUUUUACCGCGGCGGCUGACACCAGAACUUGCCCACCCCUUAUUCAUCAGUGGUUUUAGAACUAACAAAAGAUUCCUUUAGCAGGAAACACUCGGAUUAACCUUGUCGUGCUUGCGCACAUUGCAAAGGUUUCUCGCCUGCUGCGCCCCAUAGGGCCUGGGUCCGUGUCUCAGUACCCAUCUCCGGGCUUCUCCUCUCAGAGCCCGUACCUGUAAUAGCCUUGGUGGGCCAUUACCUCACCAACAAGCUGAUAGGCCGCAGUCCCAUCCUAUGGCGACGAAUCAUUUGGACCAUAAACCGUUCCAGGCAUUAUGAUCUAUCGCGGAUUAUUCUCAGUUUCCCGAGGUUAUCCACGUCCAUAGGGCAGAUUGACUACGUGUUACUGAGCCGUAUGCCUUGUAUUGCUACAAUGACUCACAUGGNCUUAGUACCAAUCCGAUAGCAGUCAGGU